This 322-nucleotide unclassified non-coding RNA is filed under the name Hevea brasiliensis (rubber tree). The record is from RNAcentral. Lineage: Eukaryota; Viridiplantae; Streptophyta; Magnoliopsida; Malpighiales; Euphorbiaceae.
AUUGUUGUUCAGAAAGAUUUAACUGGAUUAUGGUCAGUAAAUCUGAAUGGAAAAGUGAAUGGGGCAGUGGAAACCUGUGGUGAAAGCUUCCACCGAUUUGAUAAGUACCUAAACUUCACAAAUCCUCAUAUUGCAAGAAACUUUGAUCCAAAUGCUUGUGGGUGGGCAUAUGGGAUGAAUAUUUUUGAUCUUAAGGAAUGGAAAAAGAGGGAUAUCACAGGAAUAUAUCACAAGUGGCAAAACAUGAAUGAAGAUAGGGUACUUUGGAAGCUCGGAACAUUGCCUCCAGGUCUGAUUACUUUUUAUGGUCUGACACAUCCAC